UUUGCUUUUUUUUUUUUUUUUGAGGCGGAGUAUCACUCUGUUGCCCAGGCUGGAGUGCAAUGGCGUGAUCUCGGCUCACUGCAACCUCUGCCUCCCAGGUUCAAGAGAUUCUUCUGCCUCAGCCUCCCAAGUAGCUGGCACUGCAGACACGCACCACCACACCCAGAAUAGUGAAAUAAGGUGGCCAAGGAGGCAGAGAUGGAGUCAGGGACUCUGUGAUCAACCCUGAGGAUUGGGAAGGAACUAUACAUACCAGGAGGCAAGGAGCACUGGGGGCCCUCCUGGGACUGCCUGUCACAGCGUCCUCAAAG
This 311-nucleotide long non-coding RNA is filed under the name Pan troglodytes (chimpanzee). Its description in RNAcentral is "lincRNA". The record is from RNAcentral. Lineage: Eukaryota; Metazoa; Chordata; Mammalia; Primates; Hominidae.